RNAcentral lists this long non-coding RNA (6671 nucleotides) under Equus caballus (horse). RNAcentral describes it as "lncRNA (ENSECAG00000039109.3)". The record is from RNAcentral. Lineage: Eukaryota; Metazoa; Chordata; Mammalia; Perissodactyla; Equidae.
GGUUGGUGGCCAUGCUAUGGCAGCCACCCACAUACAAAAUAAAGGAAGACUGGCAUAGAUGUGAGCUCAGCAACAAUUUUCCUCAUGAAAAAAAAAACCCAAAAAUGUUGGACUUUAUACCAUUGUAAUGAUAAACAUUAAAACAUACUCAUGAAUGGAACCACGCUUAUGAGAGAGUGGCACAGAAUCAAAGAGAUUCAUUUUAAUAGAUUAACCAGAAAAAAUAAUAAUCAAAUCACACCUCAGUAGAUGCAGAAAAAGCAGUUGUUAAUAGUUAGUACCCAGUCAUAGUUUAAAAUGUUAGUAACAUCCUGGAAAGCAAGGAAUAAAAUUAUUAAAAUCUGAUUUAAAAACCUCUGCUAGAAAGAGACAGCAGGCUGGCCCCGUGGCUGAGUGGUUAAGUUCGUGCGCUCCGCUGCAGGCGGCCCAGUGUUUCAUUGGUUCGAAUCCUGGGCAUGGACAUGACACUGCUCAUCAAACCACGCUGAGGCAGCGUCCCACAUGCCACAACUAGAAGGACCCACAACAAAGAAUAUACAAUUAUGUAGCCGGGGGGCUUUGGGGAGAAAAAGGAAAAAUAAAAUCUUUAAAAAAAAAAAGAAAAGAAAGAUACAGCAAACAAUCCACAGACUAGGUAAAGUACAGAGCAUUCCUGGAAUGACAGGCAAGAUGCAGAUUUCCACCAUUCUUGCACAUAUUCAGCUUUAUAUCUAAGGUCAUAACCAGCCCAGUGGGUCGAGAAAAAGCGGGAAAUUUGGUGAAAAAGAUACAAAUUAUAAUUAUUUGCCCAGGAUACCUGCCUACAUUAAAAAACCAGGAAAAUUUGCAAACAAUCAGAAAUGUUACAGAUUUCACCAAGGCUGCUGCUGGACAACAGAUCACCUCCCACAACUCAAAAGAGACCUAUUCACCAGCAACAACUUCUUACAGAAAAAAAAUGAUUUCUUUUCAAAAGAGCCCUCUCAGAACAAAAACAAAGACUGGGUAAUUGAAGGACAAAUCUACAAAUAAUCGUCAAGGUCAUUCUGCAUAAAAUGGUAAACUUUUAUUGGGGGGCAUUAAAUAUCUGAACAUAUGGGGAGAUAUAACUUGCCUACGAAUGGGAAAGUUUAACAAGAAGCUGAUUCGUCCAAAUUCACUUGUAAACUCUAAACAAUGCUGAUCUGAAUGCUACCUGCCCUUUGUGUCUGUGUGUGGACUUGAUAAAGUUUUGCCCCCAAAUCAUAUAAGCAAAUAAUAUAAAUACAAUGUAAUACGUCAAUUAUAUCCCAAAAGAAUAAUAUGGAAUAAAUUCUCAACUAUUCUAAAAUUUAUGUGGAAGAACAGGAUAUUUUGAAAAACAUGAAGGAAAGGCUUUCUCUGUAUGCCCUUCAGAAAGGUGAAAUGAUAAAAAGCUGAUAAAUGGUGUGGGUUGACAGGGGUCAGGGCUAAAGGUCAGAGUGUAGACUGGGGUAUCCAUGAUGGAGAUUAAAUGUUUUAUACGUUUAAAACAUGACCAAGUAGCCAGGAUCCUGGGAAUGAAUCGAGGAAGAAACUCUCAUCCUGGUCAAACGAGAUGACAGUUGAGGGGGUUGUCACAGAAUCCUUCACAGUCAUGGGAGUGGGAGGCAGCCUAAGGGCAUUACUGAAGGAAGAUGCCAGCAACACGUGGAGAUGCACACCAGGGAAUAUGAUGCAGCAGUGAGAAGCAAUGGGAUAAAUACACUCAGUGUCACACAGUUUUAUAAAUAGUGGUGUGCAAAAAAUAAACAGAAUGAAAUUUAAAAUACAAUCUUAUUUAUGUACAUUAAAAACAUAUGCUCCCGUGAAAAUGUCCUAGGAAAGGAGGACUCAAAUAAACAAAGUUGCUCAUAUAAAUAAGGGAAAUAAACGUUUUUGGACAUUGGAAGAGUGGUCUGUGGUGGGCAAGAAAAUGAGAGAGAGGCAGGGGAUGAGAGAGAAAAAGAAAAAGUAAUGUAGAUGGAAUAAGCUCCAGUGGGAUGGCAGCUAAACAGGUGGGCAUUUGUCUGGGGAGCAAACAAUGAGGGGAGAUGCCCUAAGUGGGUGGCGGAGACCCCACUUCAGCUCCUGGGCAGCUGGGUGUCUUACUGAUGCCCUAACAUGCACUGUGCAGAACUGCAUUCUGGGAUUCCAUAGAGGGUCUGGUGGACAGGGUGACAUACCUCCAACUGAAUGCAUUGCAGCGCUAAACCUAGGCACGCGCAUCCUGUUACCAGCUCACAGUUAUAGACAAUAUAUGAAAUAUUCCACCACGUUCACCGAGUUCAGUCAUGGGACCUUCUCUGCGAGAGAGGUCCUGCAGGCAAGGCUCUGUGAAUAAGCACAAACUGUGGACAAACAGGCUCGAGACCUUCUUGCUUGCCCUGUUUGAAGACAGUGGAAGCAGAGACGUAGCAUAUAUACUNNNNNNNNNNNNNNNNNNNNGGGGGGGGGGGGGGGGGGGCAGCAGACAAAAAGAGGGGAGUGACCAGAAGGGGGCAAACUUUUCUCUCUGGACUAUUCAUAGCUGGAGCUCUGAUCCCACGGGUCCAUGAGGUCUAGUGCACUUGAUGGGUGAUGGGAUUCCUGGGCUUGUAGAUGCAGAGCUUUGCGCGCGCGCGCGCGUGUGUGCCUGCGUGUGCGCGUGCAUCUGUGUGUGUGUGUGUGGGGGGGUGCAUCAAGACAGCGGGUGAAUAGGGAUCCAUUCAACUGCUGGCGUUUGGAGAGGGCCUGAGGGCAGAGCGCAAACCUUCCAUCUGCGCUAUCGAGGGGGAAAGAUUACUGAUCCAUAGUGAGAAGCUGGAAGAUCAUUGCUGAGACGGAGAAGAACCAAAUUCCCAGGUCGGAACAGACAAGGCAGAACUCAAAUGGUGCCAAAUUCCAAUUAAACAAGUUCCCACCUCUGAACAAGAUCUAGGUUCCUGAGGUCAAAGAAAGAUUUCCCUGGAAUUGGUGUGUCUGCGCGAGGAGACCAGCCUUGUGGGCCAAGAGGGAGUUGGGACCAGUGAACAGAUGGGAGGUGACCUCGGGGGGGCUGGGAGAUAAGACUCAUGAGUUGCACGCGUUUCAGGAGAGGAGACUUGCAAGGGCAGGAGCGCGGAUGCCAGGGCACCGACACUGGCGAGGACACCCGCAGCUGGAGCGCAACGGGCGUGGAGACCAGUACGGAGUCCAGCGUCGCCACCGUUGCAGGAGAGGGCACUUGGCAGCUGAGAAGACUUGCACUGUGGGUGUCACGGGCGUUGUAGGCGACGAGACAGGUCUUGCGCACGUGGAGGCGGGCGAUGAGACUGGCGACAGGGGCUUACGCAUGGAGACUGGAGAGGAAGUCUCUGUCCGGGGCAUCACCAACGUCCGGGGCGGGAGACUGGCGUCACAGACGUCGGGGGCGUGGAGAGGGGCGAGGAGAUUGGCAGUGGGGUUUGACCAGCGAGGUGAGGAGACAGGAGCGGAGAGCUGCCUUGGGGUGUUGGUGGCGUGGAGUCGAGGGAGGAGACUGGUAUCGGAGGCAUAGAGAUGAGCGAAAAGAUGCCAGACGAGGGUGUCGAGGGCAUGGUGGGCGUGCAGACCGGUGGGGAGACCCGCGUCCCGGACGUUGCAGCGGUCUGGGGUGGGGAGAUGGCCGAGGAGAGCUGCGUUCCAGGCGUGGAGACCGGAGAUGCGGGCAACUGGAGCGUGGGCAUCGAAAAGGAGACCGUGUCUCCGGUGUUGCAGGUGUGGAGACUGGCGUGCGGGGAGUGGAGAUUGGCUUGGAGACAUGCGUCCCAGGAGUCGUGGGCAUUGAAGGUGAGGAGACCCGUGACACUUGCGUGGAGACCCGGGAGGGGACUUGCGUCGUGGGCGUUGUAGGGGAGAUCGCCAGCGUCGCAGGCGUUGUGGGCGUGGAGAGGGGCCGGAAGACUGACAGUGAGGGCUUGGCGGGUGAGGAGAUGCGAGAGGAGACACGCGUCUCAGGCGUGGAAACAAAGAGGAGACUGGCAUUACAGACUUUCGAGAUGUGGAGACGCAGAGACCCAUAAAGGGCCCUGCUUUGCAGGUGAGGAGACCUGCAUAGCAGACGAGGGGGCCUCGGAGGUGUUGGGAGAGACAACAUGUCCGCCGUCUCCACUCUGGCCCAUUCCUCCUGACUUUGAUGGGGUUGACGUAUCCUGCUCUGGUUCUUCUGUUCUGGGACCAAAUCUAGAGAGGAGAGAAAAUGUGAAUCGGGAUGAGUGAGUGUGAAAAGGGCCCUGAGAAAACACAGCUCUCAUUUUUCCCAGGACAGAAGCUGCCUUCCCAGAGAAUAGCAGCGUUCCCAUUGGAUUCUCUGGAUCCGGUUAGGAGACUGGUUCCUAACUCCUGCUGUUACUCAGGUUCCAGGAGGGAGGCAUGGAAAAGGGAUGGAGCAAUUGGGAGUUUCUUUCCAGGAACAGGCUGACCACAGGCGGGAAAUACACCUGCAACACAUCCAUCACAGCUGACAGAAGAAUAGAACAAUGUGAUGCCCGGAGCCUCUCAUGCCUGGAGACCAACAUCCCUGGACCCCCUCAUUGCCCAUUUUCCCUCUGUAACUGCCUCAAGAUUCUCUAAACCUUGAAGAUGGGUUUUGUGAGACAUUAGUCACCUAUCUUGUGAUUAGCCGGCUAAUCUAAUUAAACUUCCUUUCUCUGUUGUGAUUAAUUGGCUCAGAUCACAGCGAGCAGAGCCAUCCCAUUGCUCAGUCGGUAUCACCUCCACAAUGCCAAAGUUGUCAUAGGCGACCUUGGCCAGGGGUCCCAGUGGUUGGUGGUGCAGGAGGCAUUGCUGACGAUCUUGAGGGCGUUGUGAUACUUCUCAUGGUUCUUGCCCAUUACAAACCUGGGGCAUCAGCAGAUGGGGCAGAGACGGUGAGCCUUUUGGCUCUACCUUUCAAGAGAGCCCCAGCCUUCUCCAAGGCAGGGAAGACACCAGUGAAUUCCACAACAUGUUCAGCACGGGUUUCACCCCAUUUGACGUUGGUAGGCUCUCCAUCCUGGAAGAUGGAGAUGGGCUUUCCAUUGAUGACAAACCUUGACUGUGCCGCUGAGCCUGCCAAGGUUGGAAUCAUUCUGGAACACAUAGACUCUGUAGUUGAGGUCAGUGAAGGGAUUAUUAAUGAUGCCCAGGUGCCCAACGUGGCCUGAUCCAUUUCCUCUGACUUUCACCAUUGUGUCUCAGGGACACGCCUAGCAGGCACAAGAUUUGGCUGCCUGUUGAAUGGGAGGAGCAGAGGGCCUAAACUUUUUAAAUUAAAUGGUCUCAGAAAUGCCUACCUGAGUCUGAAAAAGCAUACCUUAAGGAUAAGCUUUUAGCUUGAGGGAGAGAGAAGAAGACAAUGAAUUUCUGAGUCUUAGUGGUGGUUUCCAUCCAUGGCCAUAUAUCAGCAUCCUCUGAGGAGUUUUACAAAAUGCCUGGGGCUUCACCCCAGGGUCAGUCAACUCAAAUCUCUGUAGGUGGGGCCCAAGAAUAAGGAUUUGUAUACAAUCCUCAAAUGGCUUUAGUGCACAGGUAGAGUUGGAAACCACUGGCUCAGUCACCAUCUUUAAAAGGAUUAACUUGGUGUCCGCAGGAGUUCACCUUGGAGUCUGGGGAAUAAAACUGUGCAACAGAGUACUUGGGACAGCUAGUAAGAGCAUCACCCCCUGGCUAACACUCCCUGCCUACCUGGAAGACAGUCCCAGAUCCAGAUAAUGUGAAAUACAUGCCAUUAGGUUGGACAUCUGCUGCCUUGGACCAGUAGCUUUCCACCAGGGGAAUUUUGCCCCCAGUAGACAUCGGCAAUGUCUGGAGAUAUUUUUGGAUGUGACAGCUGGGAAGUGGGGGGGUGGGGGUGGGAGGGAUGCUACUGCCAUCUAGUGGGCAGAAACCAGGGGUGCUGCUAAACAUCCUACAACUUCCAGGACAGCCUCACACAACAAAGAGGUACCAGGCCUCAGAUGUCAAUAGUAACAAGACUGAGAAUCCUGCCAUAGAUUCUACCAUCCACUACGCUUCCUUAUUGAGGUUCUUUACCGUCAUGUUGGUUACCUCCUCUCAUAGACCCAAGAUUGGAAUGCCUUCCACCAGAUAGUCACAUGGCUCCUUCUCAUUUUAUUCAAAUCUCUGCUGAGAUAGCACCUCCUCAAAACAAAAAUAAACACAAAACCUCCCAAAGACCACCCCCAAAGUCAAAACAAAAAUACUCUCCCUAAGCAUUUUAUCUUAAAAAGCAUCCAUUGGUCUCCAUCCCUUUGUACUGCCUUCUUUUUCUUUUCUUUUCUUUUCUUUUUUUUUUUCUUUUGAGGGACAUUAGCCCUGAGCUAACAUCUGCUGUCAAUCCUCUUUUUUGCCGAGGAAGAUGGGCCCUGAGCUAACAUCCGUGCCCAUCUUCCUCUACUCUAUAUGUGGGACACUUGCCACAGCAUGGCUUGACAAGCAGUGUGUAGGUCUGCACCUGAGAUCUGAACCAGCAAACCCCAGGCCACUGAAGUGGAACGUGCUAAUUUAACUGCUGCGCCACUGGAGCGGCCCCUGCCUUAUUUGUCUUGAGCACAUUUAUCACUUCUUAGCAUCAAAUUACAUAUCUCUUUGUUGUCUUUUUCUUUUACUGAAUGUAAGAUCUAUAAAAUCAGGGCCUCUUUUGUUUACUGCUGAAUUCAUUCAUUUAUUUAACAAAUAGUAAGUGAUCGACUAUUCCAGUCACUAUCAUAGACCCC